Molecule: ribosomal RNA, 630 nt
Filed under: Parahya submersa
Lineage: Eukaryota; Metazoa; Arthropoda; Arachnida; Pseudoscorpiones; Parahyidae
Description: SSU rRNA
Rfam family: Eukaryotic small subunit ribosomal RNA
Source: RNAcentral
CGGAAGGGCACCACCAGGAGUGGAGCCUGCGGCUUAAUUUGACUCAACACGGGAAAACUUACCCGGCCCGGACACCGGAAGGAUUGACAGAUUAAUAGCUCUUUCUUGAUUCGGUGGGUGGUGGUGCAUGGCCGUUCUUAGUUGGUGGAGUGAUUUGUCUGGUUAAUUCCGAUAACGAACGAGACUCUAGCCUACUAAAUAGACCCACGAUCCCAAGUAUCGUGAGCGGGUCUUCUUAGAGGGACAGGCGGCUCUUAGCCGCACGAAACAGAGCAAUAACAGGUCUGUGAUGCCCUUAGAUGUCCGGGGCCGCACGCGCGCUACACUGAAGGAAUCAGCGUGUGUCUACCCUUGUCCGAAAGGACCGGGUAAUCCGUUGAACCUCCUUCGUGAUAGGGAUAGGGGAUUGGAAUUAUUCCCCUCGAACGAGGAAUUCCCAGUAAGCGCGAGUCAUCAGCUCGCGUUGAUUACGUCCCUGCCCUUUGUACACACCGCCCGUCGCUACUACCGAUUGAAUGAUUUAGUGAGGUCUUCGGACUGGUGCAACGAGCGGUUUCGGCCGCUCUCUGCGCCGGGAAGAUGACCGAACUUGAUCAUUUAGAGGAAGUAAAAGUCGUUAACAAGGUUGCC